AAGUCGUAACAAGGUCUCCGUAGGGUGAGUUUUUACCGAUUUCUAACUAAUAUUGAAUGCAUGCUAACAGAUUUUCUAGUGAACCUGCGGAGGGAUCAUUACUGAGCUGAGGGUCUCUGACCCGACCUCCAACCCUCUGUGAUUUAAACUUCUGUUGCCUCGGGGGCGACCCGGGCCUCGCGUUCAGGGCCCCGACGGACCAUUUCAAAACACUGCAUCUUUGCGUCGGAUCGAAUAAAGCAAAUUGAUUAAAACUUUCAACAACGGAUCUCUUGGUUCUGGCAUCGAUGAAGAACGCAGCGAAAUGCGAUAAGUAAUGUGAAUUGCAGAAUUCAGUGAAUCAUCGAAUCUUUGAACGCACAUUGCGCCCGCCAGCAUUCUGGCGGGCAUGCCUGUCCGAGCGUCAUUUCAACCCUCAGGCCCCGUAAUCUCUCGGGGCCUGGCGUUGGGGAUCGGCCCUGCAGCCCAGGGCCGGCCCGAAAUCCAGUGGCGGUCACGCCGCGGCUUCCUCUGCGUAGUAGAAACACCUCGCAUAGGGACGCGGCGCGGCCACGCCGUAAAGCGGCGCGAGCCCAACUUCUUCAAGGUUGACCUCGGAUCAGGUAGGAAUACCCGCUGAACUUAA
RNAcentral lists this ribosomal RNA (625 nucleotides) under uncultured fungus. RNAcentral's name for it is "eukaryotic LSU rRNA". The stretch from base 253 to 406 matches the Rfam family "5.8S ribosomal RNA". Lineage: Eukaryota; Fungi. The record is from RNAcentral.